RNAcentral lists this transfer RNA (86 nucleotides) under Salvia splendens (bonfire salvia). It matches the Rfam family "tRNA". Rfam says of the family: Transfer RNA (tRNA) molecules are approximately 80 nucleotides in length. Their secondary structure includes four short double-helical elements and three loops (D, anti-codon, and T loops). The record is from Rfam by way of RNAcentral. Lineage: Eukaryota; Viridiplantae; Streptophyta; Magnoliopsida; Lamiales; Lamiaceae.
CCGACCUUAGCUCAGUUGGUAGAGCGGAGGACUGUAGUUUGCUAACUGAAAUCCUUAGGUCACUGGUUCGAAUCCGGUAGGUCGGA